AACGAACGUUAGCGGCGCGCUUAACACAUGCAAGUCGCACGAGAAAGGGCUUCGGCCCCAGUAAAGUGGCGCACGGGUGAGUAACACGUGGAUAAUCUUCCCUCGGGCGGGGGAUAACAUUCCGAAAGGAGUGCUAAUACCGCAUAAGACCACGAGGCCGAAAGGCCUUGAGGUAAAAGCAGGCCUCUAUACAUAAGCUUGCUCCUGAGGACGAGUCCGCGGCCCAUCAGCUAGUUGGUAGGGUAACGGCCUACCAAGGCUAAGACGGGUAGCUGGU
Molecule: ribosomal RNA, 277 nt
Filed under: uncultured bacterium
Lineage: Bacteria
Description: partial 16S ribosomal RNA
Rfam family: Bacterial small subunit ribosomal RNA
Source: RNAcentral